UACGUAGGUGGCAAGCGUUGUCCGGAUUUACUGGGCGUAAAGAGCGCGCAGGCGGUCGUUCAAGUCGCGUGUGAAAGCCCCCGGCUCAACUGGGGAGGGUCACGCGAUACUGAUCGACUCGAAGGCAGGAGAGGGAAGUGGAAUUCCCGGUGUAGUGGUGAAAUGCGUAGAUAUCGGGAGGAACACCGACGGCGAAGGCAGCUUACUGGGCCGAUACUGACGCUGAGGAGCGAAAGCGUGGGGAGCGAACAGG
This 253-nucleotide ribosomal RNA is filed under the name uncultured bacterium. RNAcentral describes it as "partial 16S ribosomal RNA". It matches the Rfam family "Bacterial small subunit ribosomal RNA", at positions 524 to 776 of the family's 1533-position model. The record is from RNAcentral.